Molecule: long non-coding RNA, 324 nt
Filed under: Gossypium raimondii (Peruvian cotton)
Lineage: Eukaryota; Viridiplantae; Streptophyta; Magnoliopsida; Malvales; Malvaceae
Description: long non-coding RNA (GRAI_LNC000490)
Source: RNAcentral
GAUUUUUAGGAGAAAAUAAAGGAAUUUGAUUAGGAGGGGGAAGUUGUGCCGUUUGGGGAGUUUUAAGUGUGGGGAAUUCAGCUAGGGGGAGUUUUGGGGUCUUUUUCGGCUUUUGAGGGACUGUUGUUUUUUAUUUUAUUUUAUUUUAUUUUUUUCUCUGUCUGCUUCAGUGUGGGUGAGCAAUUUUAUUUUUUACUUUUUCUUUUGGUACCGAACCUUACAAAGACUUCAAAGUAUCUCCCGAGUUUGUUUAUUUUUUUUUCUACCUUUCCCUUCAUGCCCUUUUCGUUUUGGCCGAAUAGCCUUUGGCUCUUUCCUCUUUCC